AACGAACGCUGGCGGCAGGCUUAACACAUGCAAGUCGAACGCCCGUAGCAAUACGGGAGUGGCGGACGGGUGAGUAACGCGUGGGAACGUACCCUGAGGUACGGAAUAACCGAGGGAAACUUCGGCUAAUACCGUAUGAGCCCCGCAAGGGGGAAAGAUUUAUCGCCUUGGGAGCGGCCCGCGUCGGAUUAGCUAGUUGGUGGGGUAACGGCCUACCAAGGCUUCGAUCCGUAGCUGGUCUGAGAGGACGAUCAGCCACACUGGGACUGAGACACGGCCCAGACUCCUACGGGAGGCAGCAGUGGGGAAUCUUGCGCAAUGGGGGCAACCCUGACGCAGCCAUGCCGCGUGAACGAUGAAGGCCUUAGGGUUGUAAAGUUCUUUUACCCGUGACGAUGAUGACGGUAACGGGGGAAUAAGCUCCGGCUAACUUCGUGCCAGCAGCCGCGGUAAGGCACGACUGU
RNAcentral lists this ribosomal RNA (464 nucleotides) under uncultured bacterium. Its description in RNAcentral is "bacterial SSU rRNA". It matches the Rfam family "Bacterial small subunit ribosomal RNA", at positions 29 to 532 of the family's 1533-position model. The record is from RNAcentral.